RNAcentral lists this ribosomal RNA (468 nucleotides) under uncultured bacterium. RNAcentral describes it as "partial 16S ribosomal RNA". It matches the Rfam family "Bacterial small subunit ribosomal RNA", at positions 28 to 507 of the family's 1533-position model. The record is from RNAcentral.
GACGAACGCUGGCGGCGUGCUUAACACAUGCAAGUCGAACGGAAAGGCCCUGCUUUUGUGGGGUGCUCGAGUGGCGAACGGGUGAGUAACACGUGAGUAACCUGCCCUUGACUUUGGGAUAACUUCAGGAAACUGGGGCUAAUACCGGAUAGGAGCUCCUGCUGCAUGGUGGGGGUUGGAAAGUUUCGGCGGUUGGGGAUGGACUCGCGGCUUAUCAGCUUGUUGGUGGGGUAGUGGCUUACCAAGGCAUUGACGGGUAGCCGGCCUGAGAGGGUGACCGGCCACAAUGGGACUGAGAUACGGCCCAGACUCCUACGGGAGGCAGCAGGGGGGAAUAUUGCACAAUGGGCGGAAGCCUGAUGCAGCAACGCCGCGUGCGGGAUGACGGCCUUCGGGUUGUAAACCGCUUUCGCCUGUGACGAAGCGGGAGUGACGGUAAUGGGUAAAGAAGCACCGGCUAACUACGUG